GACGAACGCUGGCGGCGUGCUUAACACAUGCAAGUCGAACGGAAAGGCCCUGCUUUUGUGGGGUGCUCGAGUGGCGAACGGGUGAGUAACACGUGAGUAACCUGCCCUUGACUUUGGGAUAACUUCAGGAAACUGGGGCUAAUACCGGAUAGGAGCUCCUGCUGCAUGGUGGGGGUUGGAAAGUUUCGGCGGUUGGGGAUGGACUCGCGGCUUAUCAGCUUGUUGGUGGGGUAGUGGCUUACCAAGGCUUUGACGGGUAGCCGGCCUGAGAGGGUGACCGGCCAAACGGGAAAUGAGACAGGGGCCAGAAGCCUAAGGGAGGGAGCGGCGGGGGAGGUUCGGCGAUGGGCGGGGGCGUGACGGAGCAACGCCGCGUGAGGGAUGACGGCCUGCGGAAAGGAAGAAUCGGUUAGGGGGGAAGAACAAAGGUGUAAGUAACAAUGCGCGUCGAGACGGUAGCUAAGCAGAAAGGGACGGCGAACUACGGG
Molecule: ribosomal RNA, 488 nt
Filed under: uncultured bacterium
Lineage: Bacteria
Description: partial 16S ribosomal RNA
Rfam family: Bacterial small subunit ribosomal RNA
Source: RNAcentral